Molecule: unclassified non-coding RNA, 348 nt
Filed under: soil metagenome
Description: partial contains 5.8S ribosomal RNA, internal transcribed spacer 2, and large subunit ribosomal RNA
Rfam family: 5.8S ribosomal RNA (bases 1-120)
Source: RNAcentral
GAUGAAGAACGUAGCGAAAUGCGAUAAGUAAUGUGAAUUGCAGAAUUCAGUGAAUCAUCGAGUCUUUGAACGCACAUUGCGCCCCCUGGUAUUCCGGGGGGCAUGCCUGUCCGAGCAUCAUUGCUGCCCUCAAGCACGGCUUGUGUGUUGGGCCCCGCCCCCCGGCUCCCGGGGGGCGGGCCCGAAAGGCAGCGGCGGCACCGCGUCCGGUCCUCGAGCGUAUGGGGCUUCGUCACCCGCUCCGUAGGCCCGGCCGGCGCCCGCCGGCGACCCCCCUCAAUCUUUUCAGGUUGACCUCGGAUCAGGUAGGGAUACCCGCUGAACUUAAGCAUAUCAAUAAGCGGAGGA